AGAUGCACUAACUGUAAGUCGCUCUGGAUAAGAGCGUCUGCUAAAUGACUAAAA
This is a non-coding RNA of Salmo salar (Atlantic salmon), 54 nucleotides long. The record is from Rfam. NCBI's taxonomy places the organism in Eukaryota, Metazoa, Chordata, Actinopteri, Salmoniformes, Salmonidae.